This 466-nucleotide ribosomal RNA is filed under the name uncultured bacterium. RNAcentral describes it as "partial 16S ribosomal RNA". It matches the Rfam family "Bacterial small subunit ribosomal RNA", at positions 339 to 795 of the family's 1533-position model. The record is from RNAcentral.
CUACGGGUCGCACCAGUGGGGAAUAUUGGACAAUGGGGGAAACCCUGAUCCAGCAAUGCCGCGUGUGUGAAGAAGGCCUGCGGGUUGUAAAGCACUUUCGGUUGGGAGGACUGCUUCUAGCACUAAUAUUGUUGGAAGUUGACGUUACCUUCAGAAGAAGCACCGGCUAACUCCGUGCCAGCAGCCGCGGGUAAUACGGAGGGUGCAAGCGUUAAUCGGAAUUACUGGGCGUAAAGCGCGCGUAGGCGGCUAGAUCAGUCGGGUGUGAAAGCCCCGGGCCUAACCUGGGAACUGCAUCCGAUACUGGUGAGCUUGAGUAUAGGAGAGGAGGGGGGAAUUCCAGAUGUAGCGGUGAAAUGCGUAGAUAUUUGGAGGAACACCAAUGGCGAAGGCAGCUCUCUGGCCUGAUACUGACGCUGAGGGGCGAAAGCGUGGGGAGCAAACAGGAUUAGAUACCCCCGUAGUC